Molecule: ribosomal RNA, 497 nt
Filed under: uncultured bacterium
Lineage: Bacteria
Description: partial 16S ribosomal RNA
Rfam family: Bacterial small subunit ribosomal RNA
Source: RNAcentral
GACGAACGCUGGCGGCGUGCCUAAUACAUGCAAGUUGAGCGCUGAAGGUUGGUACUUGUACCAACUGGAUGAGCAGCGGACGGGUGAGUAACGCGUGGGGAAUCUGCCUUUGAGCGGGGGACAACAUUUGGAAACGAAUGCUAAUACCGCAUAAAAACUUUAAACACAAGUUUUAAGUUUGAAAGAUGCAAUUGCAUCACUCAAAGAUGAUCCCGCGUUGUAUUAGCUAGUUGGUGAGGUAAAGGCUCACCAAGGCGAUGAUACAUAGCCGACCUGAGAGGGUGAUCGGCCACAUUGGGACUGAGACACGGCCCAAACUCCUACGGGAGGCAGCAGUAGGGAAUCUUCGGCAAUAGACGAAAGUCUGACCGAGCAACGCCGCGUGAGUGAAGAAGGUUUUCGGGUCGUAAAACUCUGUUGGUAGAGAAGAACGUUGGUGAGAGUGGAAAGCUCAUCAAGUGACGGUAACUACCCAGAAAGGGACGGCUAACUACGUG